This 508-nucleotide ribosomal RNA is filed under the name uncultured bacterium. Its description in RNAcentral is "bacterial SSU rRNA". It matches the Rfam family "Bacterial small subunit ribosomal RNA", at positions 17 to 518 of the family's 1533-position model. The record is from RNAcentral.
AUAUGGCUCAGAUUGAACGCUGCGGCAGGCCUAACACAUGCAAGUCGAACGGUAACAGGAAGAAGCUUGCUCUUGCUGACGAGUGGCGGACGGGUGAGUAAUGUCUGGGAAACUGCCUGAUGAGGGGGAUAACACUGGAAACGGUAGCUAAUACCGCAUAACGUCGCAAGACCAAAGAGGGGGACCUUCGGGCCUCUUGCCAUCGGAUGUGCCCAGAUGGGAUUAGCUAGUAGGUGGGGUAACGGCUCACCUAGGCGACGAUCCCUAGCUGGUCUGAGAGGAUGACCCAGCCACACUGGAACUGAGACACGGUCCAGACUCCUACGGGAGGCAGCAGUGGGGAAUAUUGCACAAUGGGCGCAAGCCUGAUGCAGCCAUGCCGCGUGUAUGAAGAAGGCCUUCGGGUUGUAAAGUACUUUCAGCGGGGAGGAAGGGAGUAAAGUUAAUACCUUUGCUCAUUGACGUUACCCGCAGAAGAAGCACCGGCUAACUCCGUGCCAGCCGCUGC